This 72-nucleotide transfer RNA is filed under the name Hyphomicrobiales bacterium. RNAcentral describes it as "tRNA-Thr". It matches the Rfam family "tRNA". Rfam says of the family: Transfer RNA (tRNA) molecules are approximately 80 nucleotides in length. Their secondary structure includes four short double-helical elements and three loops (D, anti-codon, and T loops). Lineage: Bacteria; Pseudomonadati; Pseudomonadota; Alphaproteobacteria; Hyphomicrobiales. RNAcentral also lists the same sequence under 14 other names. The record is from RNAcentral.
GCCACCGUAGCUCAGGGGUAGAGCACUCGAUUCGUAAUCGAGCGGUCGUCGGUUCAAAUCCGACCGGUGGCU